Long non-coding RNA from Felis catus (domestic cat), 437 nucleotides. RefSeq lists it as uncharacterized. The transcript has 2 exons. The record is from RefSeq and is a predicted model, not a curated record. Lineage: Eukaryota; Metazoa; Chordata; Mammalia; Carnivora; Felidae.
GUUUUAAUUAUGUAUAAUAAAAACCUAUUCUUAUCACUAUUUUUUGUACAGUUUUUAUUUUAUUAUCCUCUCUAUUUCACAGUUGCAAUGAUUUCACAGGAUUAUACAGUUGAAAGGACUCACAAGAUUGAGUAGACCAUACUUAGUAGUGCUUUAAUUAAGGUAGAGGAUACAGUAAAGCUGGAGAAAGCAGAGGCAAGCGUCAAAGGCCCAGGAUACACCCAGAUGGAACUCUCCUUAACCACACAAAAGGUGAUUGGUGAUGUCAUUCAAAUUCAACUACCAUCUACAUGAUGACAGCUCCUACAUGUACAUCCUUAUCCAAGUUAUCUCCUGUUAACUCUGGAUUUACAUACUCAAUUGUUACUGUAUAUUUCCACUUAGGUGACUGUAAUACACUUUUCACCAUUAAAGUGUCCAACACUGAGUUCUGAACA